Molecule: ribosomal RNA, 467 nt
Filed under: uncultured bacterium
Lineage: Bacteria
Description: partial 16S ribosomal RNA
Rfam family: Bacterial small subunit ribosomal RNA
Source: RNAcentral
GACGAACGCUGGCGGCGUGCUUAACACAUGCAAGUCGAACGGAAAGGCCCUGCUUUUGUGGGGUGCUCGAGUGGCGAACGGGUGAGUAACACGUGAGUAACCUGCCCUUGACUUUGGGAUAACUUCAGGAAACUGGGGCUAAUACCGGAUAGGAGCUCCUGCUGCAUGGUGGGGGUUGGAAAGUUUCGGCGGUUGGGGAUGGACUCGCGGCUUAUCAGCUUGUUGGUGGGGUAGUGGCUUACCAAGGCUUUGACGGGUAGCCGGCCUGAGAGGGUGACCGGCCACAUGGGGCCUGAGAUCCGGCCCAGACUCUUCCGGGAGGAAGCAGUGGGGAUUAUUGCACAAUGGGCGGAAGCCUGAUGCAGAAACGCCGCGUGCGGGAUGACGGCCUUCGGGUUGUAAACCGCUUUCGCCUGUGACGAAGCGUGAGUGACGGUAAUGGGUAAAGAAGCACCGGCUAACUACGU